This 731-nucleotide ribosomal RNA is filed under the name uncultured Campylobacter sp. Its description in RNAcentral is "bacterial SSU rRNA". It matches the Rfam family "Bacterial small subunit ribosomal RNA", at positions 28 to 776 of the family's 1533-position model. The record is from RNAcentral. Lineage: Bacteria; Pseudomonadati; Campylobacterota; Epsilonproteobacteria; Campylobacterales; Campylobacteraceae.
AGUGAACGCUGGCGGCGUGCCUAAUACAUGCAAGUCGAACGGACAAGUAAGAGCUUGCUCUUAUGAGUUAGUGGCGCACGGGUGAGUAAUGUAUAGCUAAUCUGCCCUACACUAGAGGACAACAGUUGGAAACGACUGCUAAUACUCUAUACUCCUCUCUAGCAUAAGUUAGAUAGGGAAAGUUUUUCGGUGUAGGAUGAGGCUAUAUUGUAUCAGCUAGUUGGUGAGGUAAUGGCUCACCAAGGCUAUGACGCAUAACUGGUCUGAGAGGAUGAUCAGUCACACUGGAACUGAGACACGGUCCAGACUCCUACGGGAGGCAGCAGUAGGGAAUAUUGCUCAAUGGGGGAAACCCUGAAGCAGCAACGCCGCGUGGAGGAUGACACUUUUCGGAGCGUAAACUCCUUUUGUUAGGGAAGAACAAUGACGGUACCUAACGAAUAAGCACCGGCUAACUCCGUGCCAGCAGCCGCGGUAAUACGGAGGGUGCAAGCGUUACUCGGAAUCACUGGGCGUAAAGGACGCGUAGGCGGAUUAUCAAGUCUCUUGUGAAAUCCUAUGGCUUAACCAUAGAACUGCUUGGGAAACUAAUAAUCUAGAGUGAGGGAGAGGCAGAUGGAAUUGGUGGUGUAGGGGUAAAAUCCGUAGAGAUCACCAGGAAUACCCAUUGCGAAGGCGAUCUGCUGGAACUCAACUGACGCUAAUGCGUGAAAGCGUGGGGAGCAAACAGG